Molecule: long non-coding RNA, 602 nt
Filed under: Rattus norvegicus (Norway rat)
Lineage: Eukaryota; Metazoa; Chordata; Mammalia; Rodentia; Muridae
Description: long non-coding RNA NONRATT014272
Source: RNAcentral
GGCAUUGGUGCAGAUGAGGUCCUUCAGCCUGAAGCUGCUGUGCAUUGGGUAGGAAUAGCAAGGCUUCAAGGCUUUUCUGGUGGGUCCCUGCUCAGGGAGAAGCAGUUUCCUACCUCUUUGUCUGUGUCCAGGUCUACAAAGAUCUACACUCCAGGACGGAAAGAACAGGGGGAACCCAUGACACCUCGCCGCACACCAGCCCGCUUUGGACUGUGAGCUGGGGCUCUCCCAGGAGAAGAUGGCAGCCAGGCGCUAAGUCCUUGGCUCUCCAGCCUGGGUUCCCUGAGGACUUGGACAAAGGCUUUCAUCUGCGUGUUCAUCUCUGGGUCAUUGAGGUGGUUCCUGCUGAGUCAGGCUCUGCCCCAGGAGGAGGCUGUCCUAAUGCUGGGCUUGGCAGGAGCCUGGCGCAAGGCCAAUAAGGAGCUGCCUGAGCAGCAGGAGGUGGCUGGGCCAUCUUAUCCACUCUACCUGUCCCUAGGACGCUUGGCAGACAAGUGCCUCGCUGUGACUGAAACUUUUUUAAUCCUUGUGUAAAGAGGCAGAGAAACGUGUAAUUUGGUCAUCACAUGGGAUUUGGAAAUAAAUAUAUUAUUUGUACAAUG